Molecule: unclassified non-coding RNA, 158 nt
Filed under: uncultured Saccharomycetales
Lineage: Eukaryota; Fungi; Ascomycota; Saccharomycetes
Description: sequence contains ITS1
Source: RNAcentral
UUGAAUCUGGGCCCAGCGCUUAGCUGCGCGGGUCCGACCUUUCACACUUGUUUAUUGUGCUACUUGCUUCCAGCGGACCGCGAGGGACGCUGGGAGGAUACAACUCAAGAUUUAUUCUUUAUAACACCUAGUCAUGAAAUUUAAAAAUAAAAUAUUCA